RNAcentral lists this RNase P RNA (413 nucleotides) under Brevundimonas lenta. RNAcentral describes it as "RNase P class A". It matches the Rfam family "Bacterial RNase P class A". Rfam says of the family: Ribonuclease P (RNase P) is a ubiquitous endoribonuclease, found in archaea, bacteria and eukarya as well as chloroplasts and mitochondria. Its best characterised activity is the generation of mature 5'-ends of tRNAs by cleaving the 5'-leader elements of precursor-tRNAs. Lineage: Bacteria; Pseudomonadati; Pseudomonadota; Alphaproteobacteria; Caulobacterales; Caulobacteraceae. The record is from RNAcentral.
UCAGACGGCCGGGCGGUCGCGCUUCUACGCUAAAGCUUCGCAGCGCUUGCGCUCCGGAACCUCGGCGAAGGGGCGAGGAAAGUCCGGGCUCCACGGUGAAGAGGCGGCGGGUAACUCCCGCCCGGGGCGACCCGAGGGAUAGCGCCACAGAAAGCAAACCGCCUGCCCUCCGGGGCAGGGAAGGGUGAAAGGGUGGGGUAAGAGCCCACCGCGUCUCUGGCAACAGCGACGGCAUGGCAAGCCCCGCCUGGAGCAAGACCGAAUAGGGACGUCGCGCGGUUUCGGCCGCAGGGUUCACCGCCCGAGGCGUCCGGGUAGGUCGCGAGAACCGUCCAGCAAUGGGCGGUCCAGAGGAAUGAUCGUCGCCGCACUCCGGUGCGGAACAGAACCCGGCUUACAGGCCGUCUGACCUU